GGACGAACGCUGGCGGCGUGCUUAACACCUGCAAGUCGAACGGAAAGGCCCUGCUUUUGUGGGGUGCUCGAGUGGCGAACGGGUGAGUAACACGUGAGUAACCUGCCCUUGACUUUGGGAUAACUUCAGGAAACUGGGGCUAAUACCGGAUAGGAGCUCCUGCUGCAUGGUGGGGGUUUGAAAGUUUCGGCGGUUGGGGAUGGACUCGCGGCUUAUCAGCUUGUUGGUGGGGUAGUGGCUUACCAAGGCUUUGACGGGUAGCCGGCCUGAGAGGGUGACCGGCCACAUUGGGACUGAGAUACGGCCCAGACUCCUACGGGAGGCAGCAGUGGGGAAUAUUGCACAAUGGGCGGAAGCCUGAUGCAGCAACGCCGCGUGCGGGAUGACGGCCUUCGGGUUGUAAACCGCUUUCGCCUGUGACGAAGCGUGAGUGACGGUAAUGGGUAAAGAAGCACCGGCUAACUACGUG
Molecule: ribosomal RNA, 469 nt
Filed under: uncultured bacterium
Lineage: Bacteria
Description: partial 16S ribosomal RNA
Rfam family: Bacterial small subunit ribosomal RNA
Source: RNAcentral